GUGCUCGCUUCGGCAGCACAUAUACUAAGAUUCGAACGAUACAGAGAAGAUUAGCAUGGUCCCUGUGCAAGGAUGACACGCAAAUUUGUGUAGCGUUCCAUAUUUUU
This is a small nuclear RNA of Balaenoptera musculus (blue whale), 107 nucleotides long. NCBI's taxonomy places the organism in Eukaryota, Metazoa, Chordata, Mammalia, Artiodactyla, Balaenopteridae. The record is from Ensembl.